RNAcentral lists this long non-coding RNA (1160 nucleotides) under Olea europaea (common olive). Its description in RNAcentral is "long non-coding RNA (OEUR_LNC013193)". The record is from RNAcentral. Lineage: Eukaryota; Viridiplantae; Streptophyta; Magnoliopsida; Lamiales; Oleaceae.
AAUUUUCUUUUAAUAAAUUAGCACAUCUGUUCUUUAAAUGCGUGGUUGAACCGUGUGAAAGGUAACCGAGGCAGAAGUUAUACCUUGUGAAUCAGCACAAAUAAAUUUCUACGAAAACCCCUAUAACCCAUAUACGUGUGAUCUUGAAAUCUUAACCAAACCCUGAUCGACGAUUGGAGGAUCACUCAUUAGGAAAAAGGAGAAAUGGGUUGCUUUGGUUGCUUCGAUGGUGGAAGCAAGCGUCAGAGAAAAGAAGAAGACCGUUUGGCCUCUGAAGAAGCUCGUGCUAAGGCCGCCGAAGCUGCCCAGAAAAGGUAAUUUUCGUUCCUCUUUCUAUUCUUAUUUGUGUGCUUUUUUUACGGUUGUCUUAUGAUUUUUGGUAAUUUUAUGACGUCGUUCGUUUGAAAUUAAUAUGAUUUUCUGGGAUUUUUGUCUUGGAAGCAUAGUUGACAUUUAAGAGAGAAAGGUGUUGUCAUAGAUGAAAAUUGAUUAUCAAAAUCAAGAACAUUUUCGUCAUAUAAAUCCAUAAAAGGGAAAUUGUUUGUAAGUUUUAGCCAGAUAUUUCCCGGCAUGUAAUUUUGUAAGUUUCGACCAUUUGUUUGAGCAAAAUUGUUUGUCUUGAAAAAUUUCUUCUCUUUCGUGUAAGAAUUGAACCAAUUUGUGAAAUGAAUGCAUAAUUUUAAAAGGCUGUGUAGGCAUGCAUGUCUAAGUGAAUUAAUUUUGUCUGAAAUAUUCUCAAGAUAUUAGGAAUGAGAGAAGAAAUAGCUUUAGGGAGAAUUAGCAUAUGGAAUUGGAAUGUUGUAACUUUGUGUGUGGGAGUAUCUUAUUUAUCCUUUAUUGGUUUGCAAUGUUGAAAAUAUAUCAGUAGAUCACACUUCAAUAUUCUGAAUGAUCUACAUCCGAAUAUCACUUGCAGUGACAUCUUCAUAAUCUUUUUAUUGAACUUUUUCCUUCGAUGUAAUGUCAAUUUUCACUUCCUUUUCUAUGUCUAAGAUUAAGAAUAUCUUGUGGCCUCUUGUUCUCAUUAUCAUGUUCCUGAUAAUGAAGAGACUCUUACUUUGAACGAUUCAUCAUUCUUCAAAUUCAUGGUAGAAUUUAGCAAACUCUUCUUCGCACCUUUUAAGUAGUCAUGGUGUUGUGUAAAUUUUCUGUCUUAAAGG